RNAcentral lists this ribosomal RNA (253 nucleotides) under uncultured bacterium. Its description in RNAcentral is "partial 16S ribosomal RNA". It matches the Rfam family "Bacterial small subunit ribosomal RNA", at positions 524 to 776 of the family's 1533-position model. The record is from RNAcentral.
GACGAAGGUGGCAAGCGUUACUCGGAUUUACUAGGUGUAAAGCGUGGGCAGGUGGUUUGGUAAGUCUGCUGUGAAAGCUCCCGGCUUAACUGGGAGAGGCCAGUGGAUACUGCCAGGCUUGAAUAUGGGAGAGGUGACUGGAAUUCCUGGUGUAGCGGUGAAAUGCGUAGAGAUCAGGAGGAACACCAAUGGCGAAGGCAGCUCUCUGGGACGGUACUGACGCUGAGACGCGAAAGCGUGGGGAGCGAACAGG